UACAGAGACUGCAAGCGUUAUUCGGAUUUACUGGGCGUAAAGGGUGCGCAGGCGGUCGAAUGUGUGGAAUGUGAAAGCCUAAAGCUUAACUUUAGAAUUGCAUUCUAAACUAUUCGUCUAGAGCAUUGAAGAGAGUAGCAGAAUUCACGGUGUAGCAGUGAAAUGCGUAGAUAUCGUGAGGAAUACCAAUGGCGAAGGCAGCUACUUGGGCAAUUGCUGACGCUCAGGCACGAAAGCGUGGGGAGCAAAAGGG
RNAcentral lists this ribosomal RNA (253 nucleotides) under uncultured bacterium. Its description in RNAcentral is "partial 16S ribosomal RNA". It matches the Rfam family "Bacterial small subunit ribosomal RNA", at positions 524 to 776 of the family's 1533-position model. The record is from RNAcentral.